Oreochromis aureus is the source of this 1777-nucleotide long non-coding RNA. The record is from Ensembl. Lineage: Eukaryota; Metazoa; Chordata; Actinopteri; Cichliformes; Cichlidae.
GAAAAAGCUGUUAAUAACUCCUUUAGUACAUUAGCAAGAAAAGCUCUGACAAUGAUGGAGAGAGGACAGCAUCUCUGAACAAGAUGAUAAUAAAACAGACACUCUGACCCAGAGCACGUUUAUUUCGCUAUGAGAAAUGUCAAGAAGGAUUGGAAGUUUCUUCAGUGUGCCCAUUAAAACUGAAGGCAUGCCACCCUGUCUCCAGCCGGCCAGGGCUGCCAUUGGCUCCCUGCCUCAUUAUGCAGAUGCCAAACAGCAGGAAAAGGAGGACAGGAAGGAGGGAGGGAAGGAAGGAAAAUAGGAAAACGCAAAACCAUCCAGUAAGCACCAAAACAAUUUGCCUCUGUGGAGCAAAAUAAAUAAUGCAAAGGACCUAUCAGAAUCAAACAGGGCUGUGUGUAAUGCGGAGGGACCAAGAGGCAAGAUGCGUAAGCGGGCGCCGGGCAAGGAUGAACCAGUGACUGUGGUCACACGCUCGUGGAUAUGAGGGGGAACAUCUGUGCAUAUCAGCAGCCUACCCUAUCCCUGCAUGUCCACCAUGCCUUCUUGGGCCAGUCGCACAGUCACAGAGAAAAUGCUUUUGGUCACAAAACAUUGUUUGCCAAAAUCCAUCCUCCAUAAAGAAAUCUAGUUCAAGCACGCCACACCUUCUCUUUCUCCCCUCUCAUGAAAGGACUCCUGCUCUAAGAGGGUCUUUUUGUAAUCUAAAGCACAUCUAUAAAGAACAUGUAUGCAUUCUUCCAAAAAACAGAUACUACGGUAUGUUAUUCAAAUAACUUAAUAAAUCAAUAAUAUUAAUAAUGAUAAAAUAAAGUGUGAGGGGACUUUCAGCUUUUAACAGCAUCUUUAAUGACUGCUCUGCAGCUGCAAAAGAUAAGAGAGCCCGGGCUCUUUUAGAAAGCAGACAAAGAUGAUGCAUACUUGUUAUUCCUUGAGUAACUUUAUUGUUUUGCAGUGAAAUACUUGGGAAACAUGUAACAUCUGCUAAUCUGACAAACAGGAAACAAAAAACAGAGCGCCAUUAUUACCUGAGAAGUUACAAUAGAUCUUCAGCAUGUAGCCUGAAUAAAUCCAGUCCUUUGAGAAACAUUACAUGAAGCUGUGCGUGAUGUGUACACAAUAGAGCUCAGUUUUCAGCGUGAGACUAGAAACAGAUAUGAUUAAAAUCUGAAUGCAAAUUAAAUUUUUAAAAAUUGCGCAAUUGCGGUUUUUGGUGUGUUUAAAUGGCCAUUCAUACUCUAUAUUAUACUAAUUAUCAGGGAUGCACAGAUAUGGAAAUUUUGAGCCUGUAUUGAUACCAAUGUUUAAAAUAAUAAAAUGUCAGGUAAGGGAUACUGAUAUUUUACCAAAAUUUUUUACGUUUAUUGUGUUGUUUUUCCACUUUGUUCCAGGUUCUAGCAUCAGUAAAAUAAAUGACGUGUUUUAAAGUUCUUCAGCUACUCAUUACAGUAGUUUUGAAUUUAUAACCAGGGCAAAAAACUCUACUGAUACACCUGAAUAGUUGUGUAAUAUUGGCCAGUAUAUCAGUGUAUCCUUAAUUACUGAUACACACUUACUUUAGUGUAACAAGGAUCAUUGCUGAUUCUUUUUUUUUUUUUUUUUUUUUUACAAGCGACUAGCUGAUGAUCAGCCCCUGCAUGUUAUUUUAUCAUCUGUAAAAAAUGUUCAUAUUUGUCAUUUAGUUUACUGUUUUUUGUGCAUAAAGUUUUCUGCUGUAUCCAAACCCAUGCCACAAUGUAAGCAGAUGGAUUGUUUUUGCUUGUGUGCAUGUACUCAC